Molecule: ribosomal RNA, 207 nt
Filed under: Triticum aestivum (bread wheat)
Lineage: Eukaryota; Viridiplantae; Streptophyta; Magnoliopsida; Poales; Poaceae
Description: partial small subunit ribosomal RNA
Source: RNAcentral
AUGAUUCCCCUCCCGGCUGCGCGCAGGCGUGGCCUGGCCACUAUCGCCUCCCUCGUUGCCUGGUCCCUGUGGCGACACCGGAACACGAUCAUCUUCGACAAGGUUACCCCUUCUUCCUCUUCCCUGAUCGCCGCCAUCAAGGACGAAACUCGUUCAUGGGCUGCUGCUGGAGCUCGAGGGCUAGCCUCGAACCGUUUUGUAACCUGA